Molecule: ribosomal RNA, 276 nt
Filed under: uncultured bacterium
Lineage: Bacteria
Description: partial 16S ribosomal RNA
Rfam family: Bacterial small subunit ribosomal RNA
Source: RNAcentral
UACGGAGGGGGCUAGCGUUGUUCGGAAUUACUGGGCGUAAAGCGCACGUAGGCGGCUUUGCAAGUUAGAGGUGAAAGCCCGGGGCUCAACUCCGGAAUUGCCUUUAAAACUGCAUCGCUAGAAUUGUGGAGAGGUAAGUGGAAUUCCGAGUGUAGAGGUGAAAUUCGUAGAGUAUUACGGAAGAACACCAGUGGCGAAGGCGACUUACUGGACACAUAUUGACGCUGAGGUGCGAAAGCGUGGGGAGCAAACAGGAUUAAGAUACCCCGUGACGUC